This 254-nucleotide ribosomal RNA is filed under the name uncultured bacterium. Its description in RNAcentral is "partial 16S ribosomal RNA". It matches the Rfam family "Bacterial small subunit ribosomal RNA", at positions 524 to 776 of the family's 1533-position model. The record is from RNAcentral.
UACGGGGGGAGCAAGCGUUGUUCGGAUUUACUGGGCGUAAAGGGCGCGUAGGCGGCCACCGCAAGUCGGUUGUGAAAUCUCUGGGCUUAACCCAGAAAGGUCAACCGAUACUGCGGGGCUAGAGUGCAGAAGGGGCAACUGGAAUUCUCGGUGUAGCAGUGAAAUGCGUAGAUAUGCGGAGGAACACCGAUGGCGAAGGCAAUCCCCUGGACCUGUACUGACGCUCAUGCACGAAAGCGUGGGGAGCAAACAGG